CAGUCGCCGCGGUAAUACGGAGGGAGCUAGCGUUGUUCGGAAUUACUGGGCGUAAAGUGCACGUAGGCGGUUAUUCAAGUCAGAGGUGAAAGCCCGGGGCUCAACCCCGGAACUGCCUUUGAAACUAGAUGACUAGAAUCUUGGAGAGGUCAGUGGAAUUCCGAGUGUAGAGGUGAAAUUCGUAGAUAUUCGGAAGAACACCAGUGGCGAAGGCGACUGACUGGACAAGUAUUGACGCUGAGGUGCGAAAGCGUGGGGAGCAAACAGGAUUAGAUACCCCCGUAGUCCCUGUCUCUUAUAC
This 301-nucleotide ribosomal RNA is filed under the name uncultured bacterium. Its description in RNAcentral is "partial 16S ribosomal RNA". It matches the Rfam family "Bacterial small subunit ribosomal RNA", at positions 509 to 807 of the family's 1533-position model. The record is from RNAcentral.